This 715-nucleotide ribosomal RNA is filed under the name Streptomyces sp. LK2334.1. RNAcentral's name for it is "bacterial SSU rRNA". It matches the Rfam family "Bacterial small subunit ribosomal RNA", at positions 41 to 774 of the family's 1533-position model. Lineage: Bacteria; Bacillati; Actinomycetota; Actinomycetes; Kitasatosporales; Streptomycetaceae. The record is from RNAcentral.
GGCGUGCUUAUACAUGCUCNNCGAACGAUGAAGCCCUUCGGGGUGGAUUAAUGGCGAACGGGUGAGUAACACGUGGGCAAUCUGCCCUGCACUCUGGGACAAGCCCUGGAAACGGGGUCUAAUACCGGAUACGACCUUCGAGCGCAUGCUUGAAGGUGGAAAGCUCCGGCGGUGCAGGAUGAGCCCGCGGCCUAUCAGCUUGUUGGUGGGGUAAUGGCCUACCAAGGCGACGACGGGUAGCCGGCCUGAGAGGGCGACCGGCCACACUGGGACUGAGACACGGCCCAGACUCCUACGGGAGGCAGCAGUGGGGAAUAUUGCACAAUGGGCGAAAGCCUGAUGCAGCGACGCCGCGUGAGGGAUGACGGCCUUCGGGUUGUAAACCUCUUUCAGCAGGGAAGAAGCGAGAGUGACGGUACCUGCAGAAGAAGCGCCGGCUAACUACGUGCCAGCAGCCGCGGUAAUACGUAGGGCGCAAGCGUUGUCCGGAAUUAUUGGGCGUAAAGAGCUCGUAGGCGGCUUGUCACGUCGGAUGUGAAAGCCCGGGGCUUAACCCCGGGUCUGCAUUCGAUACGGGCAGGCUAGAGUUCGGUAGGGGAGAUCGGAAUUCCUGGUGUAGCGGUGAAAUGCGCAGAUAUCAAGAGGAACACCGGUGGCGAAGGCGGAUCUCUGGGCCGAUACUGACGCUGAGNANCNAAAGCGUGGGGAGNNAANA